RNAcentral lists this long non-coding RNA (785 nucleotides) under Anas platyrhynchos platyrhynchos (common mallard). RNAcentral's name for it is "lncRNA (ENSAPLG00000025161.1)". Lineage: Eukaryota; Metazoa; Chordata; Aves; Anseriformes; Anatidae. The record is from RNAcentral.
GGGCCAAGGAUGAUUUUUCACCCUAAAGUUGUCAGUCUGUGUGACUUCUUGUGGGGGGAGUCCUCCAAGAACUGUGCAAUACAUUUAUUUUUUUUAUUUUUUGAAACCUAAGGAGCAGUGGCUCGUUUGUGGUGAGGUGCGCUGGGGCCUGUUUUCUGGGCUGUGGCAGGCCGCAGGGAUGGAGAUGUGCGCUGAGGACCACGCUGGGUUUUCUCUGAAAAAAACUUCUCUCUGCAUCCCCGACUGUUGUCCUGGUAUUGUCAGCAAGCACAAGCCCGAAUGGCAUGCAGAUUGUGUUAAUUUGCACUGAAGACAGUCUUUGGCUCUACAAAUAAGAAAGCAUCUUUAAACACAUCCGUUCUCUACUGAGCUGAGUACUCCUGGCUUCCAGCUCUGUGGUGCACACAUGCACUCGGCCAGCAAGAUCAGUGAGGGACUUACAAGGUAAGUGUGAGCAAGUUUAUGAUGAAGUCGUUAAAUUCACGGACACUGUUCUUUUUUCAACAUCUCAUAUUGGACCAUGGAUUUGAUAUUUCAAGUAGUAACAUCAUUCUGCUGUUGAACUAGAAUAGUGAUGUUGGGUGGUAUUUGCUAGUUCUUCUGGUGUCACUGUGAGCCGUGAAUCUCUCAAAAGGAAUCAGUGGUUUGGAUGGGAGAAGAGGAAAGGAUAGAACUUGCUUGGGUAAUCAUACAAGCAGUCCUUGUGCUGCUUUUAACUUGUGCAGCUUUUAACUAAGCUGAGUGUUACCCAUCCCCAGUCCAGUCACUGAAUUACUCUGUUGUGC